RNAcentral lists this ribosomal RNA (563 nucleotides) under uncultured archaeon. RNAcentral describes it as "bacterial SSU rRNA". It matches the Rfam family "Archaeal small subunit ribosomal RNA", at positions 312 to 879 of the family's 1478-position model. The record is from RNAcentral.
CGCGAUUCGCCCUUCGGGGUGCAGCAGGCGCGAAAACUUUGCAAUGCGGGAAACCGUGACAAGGGAACUCUGAGUGCCCGUUAAAUCGGGCUGUCCAUCGGUUUAAAUAACCGGUGAAGAAAGGGCCGGGCAAGACCGGUGCCAGCCGCCGCGGUAAUACCGGCGGCUCGAGUGGUGGCCACUAUUACUGGGCUUAAAGCGUUCGUAGCUGGUUUGUUAAGUCUCUGGGGAAAUCUUCCGGCUUGACCGGAAGGCGUCUCAGGGAUACUGGCAGACUAGGGACCGGGAGAGGUGAGAGGUACUCCAGGGGUAGGAGUGAAAUCCUGUAAUCCUUGGGGGACCACCUGUGGCGAAGGCGUCUCACCAGAACGGCUCCGACAGUGAGGGACGAAAGCUGGGGGAGCAAACCGGAUUAGAUACCCGGGUAGUCCCAGCUGUAAACGAUGUGCGUUAGGUGUAUCGGUGACCACGAGUCACCGAGGUGCCGAAGAGAAAUCGUGAAACGUACCGCCUGGGAAGUACGGUCGCAAGGCUGAAACUUAAAGGAAUUGGCGGGGGAGCAC